CCUGGGCAACAGAGCAAGACCCUGCCUCUAAAAAAAUAAUAAAUAGAUUUAAAAAAAAACAAAAACUUUAAAUGGUUUUGCUGGGAUAACCGAGGGCUACAAGAGACACAUAUUUGAAGAACUAUUUUAGCUCGAAGCAAGUUCUUAACCAAAAACUGUAAAAACAUUACUUCCUUCUUCCUCCUAAGUUUCUUGGCAGGAAGUCAGCUGUACGAUUUUAAAUUUAAAGGUUCAAUCAGGUAUUACCUACAGUAAAACCCUAUACUGUAAGACAGAAAAACUCUGCCCAGGACUUCAGUAGCUCAGAGAGGGAAGGGCUUGAUAUGUAUCCGAAAAGAUGACUUUCGGAAAGUAAGAAAAAAAGAAAGAUCCUUUCCACGCCAAAUCCCUACCCUCCUCCACUCCCAAUGAAAACAGACCUUCUUCCACCUUAUCCACAGGCUCCUCCACCAAGCCAACGCCAGGACUCCUGCAAUCAUAGGAUGGCAACAUCACCUCUAAAGCACAGAAGAACUUCAGGCUUUGCUUCGGAAGUGGCACCAUGCUAUCUUCAUUUUCUCUUUCUUCAAGGAACCUUAAACAAGUCACUCAACCAUCUUGAGUUUGAGUUUCUUCAUCUAAAAAACCCAGAGAACUGGAAGAUUAGUGUGGCAAUGCAUCUGAAAAUAUUCCGUAAACCAGAGUGCUAGACAAAUGCUAACCUAUUAUUGAAUUCAGCACUUCAUCACAGCGGAGCUAGGAAUUCCAUAUUUGGACCCACCUUGACUGGAGAUUUCUGAAAAAGCUGCUUCCGGUCGCAUGCCUUUUGGGCUCUGCGGGCAGCCCUUGCUGAAUAAAACUUAAUGACGGCAUAGAAACCAGGAUGGGCCACUGCAGCAUUUGGGAAGACCCGGACUGAAUACAGAAGGCCAAACUGGGAAAAUGCUGUGAACAGAGAAUGCUGUGGGGGUGGUCCCACCCCAAGUGCGCUAAGAUAGGGAAGCUAAAAGCAGAAUCGAGGGGUAUGCCUACAGCUGCAGGAUGUAUGGGAACAGACACAGAAACUCUUCCUCCCAGAUAAGCAAGACAAAGAGGCACAGACUAAAAGUUGGCCUAUGUGCUCGGGAAUGGGGUUCCAGCUGGCCCGGGGAUUUCUGGGAGGACUUGUAGAAAAAGGCCGUCUACAGUAGGAGCCUCUUCUUCCUCACCACGUAUGCUUCAGCCCUGCCCAACUAACAGCUCUCCAUGUUCUAAAGAAGGAGGGAGUGCUGGGCCAUCCCAGCCUUCUGGAACUCCAGUUCUGUGACGUCAUCCAUCUCCUGGAAAUACACUGGUUUUAACCAGGCAAAUUGGCCAAGCGUCAGGCAGAAUUAGCAGCUGGGCCUGGGAGGACAGGUGACAUCUGUGAGGAAAAUGGCCAGGUGGGACAGGGUGGAGAGCACUGGCUGUUUCCUUCCUUUUUGGGAACAGCACCACCUUUGGGAGAGCUCCUUCCCUCAUGGGGUUUUAGUGAGGGCUGCCAGUCCUAGGGCCCUGCCCCCCAACAUUCCCCAAUAAGCAUAGGAAUGCUUGUGUGCCAGUCACUGUAUUUGUAAACGGAAGCGGUGGACCUGCUCAGCUUCCAAUAGAAAGCCCGUGUGUGCAGGGCCAGAGGACACAGCCCAUCUAAGGCGCUAAGCCUCCAUAAAGAGGGAGUGGAAUCUGGACAGGAUUCCAGCCCCAGGGUACACCCUUUCUGGGACCCAAACACACCCUUCCCCUUCCUCCAAUUCUGAGACUCAGUAAAUGUCUCUACUUGCAGAACAAGUUUGAGUUGGGUUUCUGUCACUUGCAGCCAAAAGAGCCAGUCACAGUCGGCAUCGGGUCAACCAUCUGUGAAAUGGCGACCUGACACCCUGUCCCUUCCCUGUGAAGGCCACAACAUCCCAACACCAUUAGUCACUGACGAAGUCCAGGAGAAAUUUCUACCAACUGUAGCAAAAGAGAUGCAAGGGAGAAAACAUUUUGUUACUGACAGUGCACUCUUCCCUCUGAAACAGGGAGGCAGGAUCUGACAGAAAAAAAGGACAAGUGGCGGCCGGGCGCGGUGGCUCACGCCUGUAAUCCCAGCACUUUGGGAGGCCAA
Macaca mulatta (Rhesus monkey) is the source of this 2104-nucleotide long non-coding RNA. RefSeq lists it as uncharacterized. The record is from RefSeq and is a predicted model, not a curated record. NCBI's taxonomy places the organism in Eukaryota, Metazoa, Chordata, Mammalia, Primates, Cercopithecidae.